Molecule: long non-coding RNA, 3154 nt
Organism: Cercocebus atys (sooty mangabey)
Lineage: Eukaryota; Metazoa; Chordata; Mammalia; Primates; Cercopithecidae
Exons: 3
Source: RefSeq, a predicted model, not a curated record
CCAGCGACCAAUGGGUAGCGCCUUUGGGGGCGGGAGCAGAGAGACAAGGAAAUGCUGUCACCGCCGUUAACACGCACGUGGAGGUUGGUUAAAGGGAAGAUCUGGGAUUAAGUCCUGUCCCGUCAACCUCAAGAUAUGGAACCUCAUGGAAGGGAGGGAGGCAAUGCCAAGGAUGUGCUCCUGAGCAGGUGCCACAAUUCUUCACCUGUCAGGCUGAUCUAAGAAGAUUCCUAAUUAUCAACUGGGAGCAGAAAUAUUCCACUUCCAAUUACAUGGCCCUGCCUGCUCACUCUUACUUCCUAUUCACACUCUCUUGGAGGCCACUUUGUGAUUCUACCAAAUCUUGUAGGAGAGGUGACAACCCUAAAGAGAAGGCUCUAGAAAGAUGACAUUUGGAAAUGUGUAAGUUAGUGUCUGCUGGCUCCUCCUGAGCCACUUCUACUCUGUGAUUGAGAGGAAAGGCCACCUAACUGCCUAAAUCACCACACAGGGACAAACUGGUAUCUAAGAGCACUCAGCAGCAAAAACAAGUAAGCUAAGCCUUUGCACUGCAAUGUGGCAGGGCUUCUGGCUAGGUAUAGCAAGCAAUUCUGAUGUGGAGACAAACAGCAGCAACGGGAAUGAAAUGCCAAUGAAGGAUUCCAACCAUUGGGUCUGCAAGCAUGCUUGUCCUGUGACACAAACAGCCUAGACAUCUCAGCACUGCUUGGAGCUGCUCAUUGGGGGAGCCUGAGAAACAUCAGCCCUUUCACAACCCCUUGCUCCUGAGCAGAGCUCAUCUCCCAAGAGCAAAUCAGCCUGCAGCCCAGUUGGAUGAGAAGCACAGUGUUCCCCUGUGCCAGUGGCAGCCUCAGAGCAUCCUGAAAGAGCGCUUCCUAGACACGCAGUGGAAGCCAUGACUUCCCCUAAGCUGCCAGUGCUGCUUCUGAACUCACGUGGAGGUUCUUUUUCCAGUGUCCCCAGAGGCAGUAGAAAAAUCCGUUUUCCAUUUUGGAAUCUAUCAAGUAGGACAAAUCUGCCACCUGGGAGUAUCUCCUCAAGGGCAAUCUCUACGCCCUUUCCCACAUAGCCUGACAAUACCCUCGAGUUAGAAAUAUCCCUUGUUGGCUAGGCACAGUGGCUCAUGCCUGUAAUCCCAGCACUUUGGGAGGCUGAGGUGGGAGGAUUACUUGAGGCCAGGAGUUUGAGACCAGCCUGGCAUAGAGAGACUAUGCCUCUAUUAUUUUUAAAAAAGAAAUGUCCCAUAUUUUUACCCUCUUCACUCAUCUUUCCACCUUGCUCCAAUAGAUGGCUGACAGAAAAGUGAGAUCUCCUCCACCCCGAGGUCUCCUAAGAGAAUGCUGCUAGCCAAAAAAAGAUCUGCUGAUUAUUGAGGAAGAGCAUCUUUAAAAAGACACUCAACUACAUUUCAGAAAGAUAAAGAUCUAAGUGUUGGCUCUAUGAGGGAAGAAAUAAAGAGAAAGAAUUUUUUUUCCUCCUGCAACAGGUCUAGACAAUGUCAUACAAGGAGUUGCAAGCAUAUCCAAAACAAAAGCAAGGCAAAAACAAGCAAAAAAGUAACAAAUGCAUUCCAAAAUGAUCUCCAUUUCUCAGCCCAGAAAUGUACUGGAUACUGGUUUAGUUCAGCCUGUAGGUGGUGGGAAGAAAUUCACAAAUCCAAGUCAGUUGCAAAAAGGGAAUACUCCAGACAUAUCACCCAAUGAACCUGUAAGAAAGUAUACGAGCUUCUCUGAACAGAUUUUACUCCAGGUUUGCAGCCCACAAGGUUUAAGAUCGGGCCAUGAGGUUAAAUCUGGUAAACUCAGAAAUGUUCAUGCUACUGCAUCCCUAAACUUUGUAAUUCUCUGUGUACCCUUUAAAGCAGUGUUUCUCUGCAUCUUUUAUUCCAUAGCCAUUGUCCACCUGAUCCAAAAUAUCCUAAAUUUUUCUAUGUUUGGAAGCAGGGUUUCCAAUUUUUGUGUAUACAUAAAAGGGGUGUGUGUGAAAAAAAUAAGUAUUAGAAAAAGAACACGUUACGUAUAUAUCACAGAAAUGAGUGGGCAAGAUUUAGAAGAUUGCUGAAACAAAGCCAAUACUAAGGUCUACUAGUUGGUUGCAACAAGUUUAAAAUGUCUUCAGAAGGGCCCUGGUUGGGCAAUACUAUACUUGCUGACAGCAAGCUUGGGAACUGACACAGACCUAUAGCAAAGGACUAUCCAACUUCUCCAAAAAGCUGGUAUUAACCACCAGAAGAAAUAAGAAGUUCAAGGCCAAAAUAUCCAAAUGAACCAACCACUCUACUUGCUGAAAUGCCAUAAAGCUUCUUUACCCCAGACAUUUACCCAAAUCUUAUAAUUUCUUUUCUCCUCUCUGACAGGCCUCCACAGGCCCAAACUUUAAUAGAAUCUGAGAGAAAAAAGUGGCCAGUCCAUCUGCUGUCCAGAGUGAUGCCAAACUCUUUCUCCUGGAACCAGUUCUACCUGUUGGGCAGUCAGAUGAGGGUCUGAUUAUUAACAAACUCUACUUGGGUCUCCUUGGUAGAGUUUGUGGCUUCAGCAGCCUAGUUCAGGGGGGUUCAUAAUUAUGUCAGACUAGUUUUUUUUCUUGUAGUUGCUUUUAACCAAAGAGGUUAAGCCUCUGUACAACCAAGAGGAAGAACUAGAAUUAGAAAACUUACCAAUCGUCCCAGCCAAUGAUAAUCCAUUUCCAACAGGUAUUAACGCCUGUUAGAAGCCACUGGAACACUGACAUCAUCAGCCCAAUUGAUAGGUUGUCUGAUAGAUUCCCCCCCUUCAUCGCACACAAGAAUUUAAAACAAAACAGGACACUGCAGUUAUAUUCAUUAUUGCAGACAAUGGGUUUCUUUGUGUUAGUAAUUGAAAUUACUGCUGUGCUCUGGACUCCAUUAUUCCCUUUGCAGCCUGUGAGCUGGCCAACACUCUAAAUUGUCGAGCCCUAAAAAUUGUAUCAUCCAGAAUACCAACUCGGUACAGCCCUCCAAUGUGAAACUGAAUGCCUUCUGGGGUACAGCAUGAAACUGUUUUAGACAGUGCAGGCCAGUGCACCUUGAAACAGUGUCCUUCCAACUGUAAUGAAAUCUGUAAACGGGAAACUUGGGCCAAUUCAUUGUUUAAAGCAGAUCUACUGGCUCAUACCUUUCUCUAGGAAACAAUAA